CCCUUUAAUCAACCCAUAUAUUCCUUUAUUUAAGGCCUUCACCCUUUUCAUUCAAAAGGGGGGAGAUGGUUGGAGAGAGUUGGCGAAAAAAAUUGGAAAAUGGGGGUUAGAAAGGAGAAGAAUAGAAGCAAACACAGUUAUAUAAAUUUAUCAAAAAGUUGUUGAUUUCUAUUUUGUUUGCGGGGUUAUAGAUUUUCGAUAUCAAACUUCCCUUUUAAAAUUUCCCGUAUUCUUUUGUCGAAAGCUCUCAUCGGAAGUGUGGAAGUCUCUGUUUGGUUUGUUAUUGUCUCAGACACUGCUCAUCAAGAGGUAACUCUCAGUUAUUUUAUUCAUUCAGUUUCCAGUAGUCGUUUGGAUUUGAGUUGUGUUUUUAUGGGUUUCGAAAUACUUUUACUUGACAUGUUGUAGUCUAAGUGAUAUCUUUAGCCCUCACCUUAUUUCUCUCGAAAACUGAUAUUAUAUAUUUCGUUUUGAAGUAAUUGAAUGUCUGUUCGAAUUUGUUUUAUCCGUUCUUAAUUUCCUCAAGCGCGUGACUGCAGUGCUUGCCUCAAUAGUUAGUUUGUUUCACUUGUGAAUUAUCGGAACGCUUUUCUGUCUCUAUUCGUGGAAAUGAUAUUCAUGUUUGUUGUACGUGUAAAAAGAAUCACUCCAUUGAUUCGGUUUGGCACUUAUUUUUCGAGUUUAAGUUAGUCAGUUCUCUUUCUUAUAGGUCGGUGUAGGUUAGUGUUGAUUUGUUCGAGUCAACCUCGUUAUCUUAGCCACUCUUGUGGUGCCUGCUUAGUUCCACACUUAAUCUUGUGAUAAAUUUAUUAAAGGCUUGUUAAUUUGCAUUUCACAUGCCUAUGACUCUCAAAUUUGACGUUUGAUUGCUAUUCACUUAAGUUAUGUGCAAAUAGUCUUGGUCAUUGUGUGUUUAAAUGCAUUAAGUCUUGCCUUAGCGUUCUCUCAAAGUGGUUCAUGCGUGCUGGAAAUUUUUGUGUUUUGGUUACUUUAGUAGCUUAAUGUUUUGAUUUCAUUCUCUUUAGCUCCUUUACUAUUUACUCAUAGAAAGGUUAAAAAAAAGAAUUUGAAUUUGUCUGCAAGAAUAAAUAAAUAUAAUUUUUAGUCCGCAUUGUGAUUCUUUGGAUGGUGUUCAAAGCAUCUGUAUGUAUGUUAUACUUGGGAGUUUGAUUUCCUCUUCUUCUAUUCCCUUCACUGCUUAUCAUAAACUCCCCUUUAAAUUAUUGUUCAAGUGUUAUUUUAUUAAGGGAUAAUGCACAAGUAUCCCUUCAACUUAUGUCUGAAAUUUCAGAAACACAUUUAUACUAUACUAAUGCUUUAUUACACCCCUUAAAUUAUUUUAUUAAUAACUUUUUAUCCCUUUUUGGCCGACGUGGCACUAUCUUGUGGGUCUAGCGUUAGUUGACUUCUUUUUUCAAGCUAGUGUCACGUAGGCCGAAAAGGGGUAGAAAAUUACUUAUAAAAUAAGUCUAGAGGGGUAAUAGGACCUUCGAAUAGUAUAAGUGUGUCUUUGAAAUUUCGCAUAUAGGUUGAGGGGGUACUUGUGCAUUUUCCCUUUUAUUAAUAAUGUCUGGUAGAUGUUAAGUAUUUUUCAUCACUUUAUUUCCUUCCAUAGAUGUCAUCUUUUUACUUUAUGUUAUGGAUGUGAAACUCCAUCAGAAUCCCCUUGAACUCCCCUCCUUGCAUAUAGUUGAAUUGAACCACCAUCGAGUCAGCUAUCGGGGUAAAUUGGAGAUUAGGUGUACAGGUGGAAAAUUGAUAAAUCCGUACAAAAAAUAAGUCUCCUGUGCUGGAAAUGUGAAAACAAGCUGAAAAUAUGGCUUGUAUACAGACAUAUACAGUGAUAUACGUUGUGAAAUAGCAAUAUACAGGCUCAAAAGGGCGUGAAAAUGCAUCAUACAAAAUUACAUGACAUAAGGUUCAAAAAAAUGUAGGCUGAAAAGGUUCAAAAAUGGGUUCGAAAUGUCUUGUAUACCAGCGUAUACGUAUUGUGUAUAUGGAGAUUUCUUUGAAGGAAAUAGGCCCAAAGGCCCUGAAAAUUGCAGCACUAGAAUUUGGGCCUAGGGCCCAAAUUUGAUAUUUCCUCCCUUUCUUAUUUAUUUAUUAUGAUUUUGGACCAACAUAUUAUUUGAGUUUUGGUUUUAAUUCAAUUAUAUCCCUAAGAUAGCCAUUUCUCUUUAAUAUUAAACAAAAAUACAAAUAAUUAUUUUAUAAAUGUUUAUUACUUAGAUUUUAUUUUAAUAUUGAUUUUGUUAAAACAUAUGAAUUAUUUUCACUUUUAAGUAAUUUCUCUAUUUUAUUUUCCCCUUGAUAAUAUAAUAAUUAAAUUGAGUAAACGAAAAAAAAUUCUUUUUACUUUAGUUAAAAACUUGAAAAGUUGUUUGAAAGUCAUUUUUAGUCAAAUCGCCGGUCAACCGCAAGUUAGCGGGCAAUCCGAGGGCCUAACAUCUUCUCGGAAUGUACAUUUGAACUUCGAACCCUUUUCAAUUGAUUUUUCUCUGUUUUAAAUCUUUUAAAAAAUAAUUUUAAGUUUUUCUUGAUUUAUAUUAAAAGUCAAGUGGCGACUCUAUUAUUUUGGAAAGUCGAUUUUUCUUAAUCAUAAAUUAAUUUUUUUUGAAACUUUGUCAUUUUACUUUACUUAUAUAUAUUUUUCGUAAAACAAGAUGUCUAUGUAAACCUCAGUGUAGAAGUAAUUAAAAAGUUUUAAAUUAUCCGCAAUUUAACCUAUGAAAUGUAAUGACAAAUGCUAAGAUGUUAGUUUUAUUCCUCUUCGAGGAUGACGACACCGAUUACUUCUAGGGGGUGCUCCCCGGAUGUGACAGGUUUGAUGGACCGGAGGAAAAUUCUGGAAAAUGUUGACGCUUGGAUUUUGAGAAGUCGGUGACGUUUGGUGUGAGGAGCUAGCAUGAUGCGAGUUAGGAUUGGUCAAGUCAAUGGUGUAAGGUUAGGAAUUAUAGUUGUUGUUGAAUUAUUUGAAAAAUGUUAUAUUGGAUCCAAAGUAGGAAAAUGGAGUGGUGGUCUUCCGUUGUCUGGAAUAAGAGUGUUAGCAAUGAUACCUAGAAUUGUCAAAUCUCGAUUCUUAUUCAGUUCAUCCCUCAUUUCAGCAAUCUGUCAGAUUAAUUGUGCUAUCAACUUGUUUUUGUUCGUCAAUGAUAGGGUCAUUCACAGUAAUUUCAUUCAGAUCAGUAUUCACAACAUUUUCAACCACUUUUUCUUUGUCUUUUGACAAACAUUGAUCGGAGAAGGGAUCUUUGCAUCUUUGGACCUCGUGAUGUAUGGAUGUUCAGUCAUUUUCUCAACAAAUAUCAAUUUUGAGUACGUGACAAAGAAAAAUAACUCAAAGUCAAAUGUGUUAGUCUGCGUCGAUGAUAAUUAAUACAAAAUAUCACCCACAGUACUGUAAACACAUAGGGUUGCUUCAUUUGAACAUAAACUUGCCCACAUAUAUAGAGAAAUGACUAAAUAGAUGGAAAUUUGUCCAUUUGAUUUUUAACUUUGUGAAUUAGAAAUGUCGACUUGAGUCGAGACAAAGUCGAUUGAAUAUUUCAUUGUCGUACUUUCUUUUUUUGACAAGAUGUAACUCUAUUUUUUUUGUAAGAGUUGAAAAAGAUAAAAUUUCUCAAAAAUGGGGAUUGAACCUUGAAAGGUUGUCUAUGUAUUUCACAUAGUUCGACCCAUUCGAAUCUCUUUCGAUUUGAGAUAAAGGGUUAACCUUUUCUCUGAGAUGGGAGAGUAAGGAUUGAAAGCGAUGUUUGAACUUUGUUGGAAAACUAAAGACUCGAAUAAUAUUUGGACGCACUUUUGAUUGUGACUUGACAUUUGUGCAUAGGGGUUCUAAAAAAAAUCUCAAAUAAGAGUGAGCUGGAAUGUCUCCAAAUAAAGCAACAUAUUCACAUAAGCAGUUUUAACACAAAUAAAUAUUGCCCGUUUUAAUAGAUAUAUGACCCUUUUGUGCAAGGGUAGGUCUAACGAUUUGAAGGAUAUAUAAGUCAUUUGAAAUAUUUCAUUGCCCCAAGACUCAAAUUUAUACAAAUUUUAUGAAUAAAAUUAAAUAGAAACACAUAAUAGGAAAACGGGAUAAAAAAUAAUCAGUCUCAUGCAAGAGUACGACCGUAAACUAUGCCUCCACGAAAGAUCCUUCUUUUUUUUCUUUUUUUUUUUCGUUCGCUCCGGGUGCAUAGGUCUUUGGAUGGCCUAGUAGCUUGUUAAGUUCUUUCUUCAACCUAAAUAAACUAUAUUCUAAUCAUUAUUCCACGAGACAAUGAUUUUCAAACAAUGUAUACAUCUUUCAAAUUUAAACACAUAAAUAUGAACAUUCGUUUAGGUCGUGGGCCGUUCUAGACUCAAGGUGAUCGCUCUAUUGGACCCAGCGCCCUUUGAGUGUUGGGUCAUUUUAGGCUAAUGCGCUAACUUUUGGGGAUUUGGCUUUGCUCUUUCCUAGUUUGACUAAGUGUGGGUUUUGUUUAUAGUGGAUAGGUGACCCAAGCGGACUACUUAGGCUGAGAGAGCUAACGGCCAUUGACUAUUAAGUAGUCAACUACACCCGUCAGGGUGCCCCGAGAACAAUUUUGUUAAUGAACGACUAAAAAACCGCAUAAUUGUCCUUUAAGUGAUAAGCAAAAUAAUUAUUGUUUGACGAAAUAUGUCAUGCCAUGAAUGCAAUAUUUAUCAAUAUAAACAUAUUAAACACAAAUAACUAUUUUAGCAAAUAACACUUAAUCAAACAAUCAAAUAUCAUGGUUAGAACUUAAUAAUUCCUCAGUAGUGUCACUAUUUCUGUUUUACUCGAAAAUAAUAAAAAGAAAAGACUAAGUUUUUGAAAAAUUGACUAAACUUAUGAUUUAAGAGAAAUUAAAUUUUCAAAUAAAUAGAGUCGUCACUUAAUUUUUUAAAUAAAAAUACAAGAAAAACCUAUGAUUUUCAAAAAGAUUUAUACAGAUAAAAUAUCAAUUUAAAAAGUGGAUUCGAAGUUCAAUGUAUAUUUCGAGAAGGUGUUAAGACUCUCAAAAUGUCUGCGAACUUGCGAUUGACCGGCGAUUUGAUUAAAACUUUGACUAAUUUAAAACAUUUAACCAAGUAAAACAAACUAAUUUUUUAUUUUUUAUUUUUAAGGGAAACAACUGAAGGGAAAUCUUCUAAGGACAAUGAUUCAAGUUGCAAGACAAACAAUAAAAUAAAAUAAAACUAAGUAACAAAAUAAAAAAUAUAAAUAUUUUAAUUUUGAACAUAAAAUUGAGAAAUGACUUUCUUUUGGGGAAUUCAAUCAAAUAAAAAUCACUUCAAAGAAAUCUUAGUUAGACAAAGAAAUAAUCAAAUACAAUAAAAGAUAAGAGGAUAUUAUAAACUUGGGUCUUCCCUCAAAUUUCAAAUUGAUGGGCUGGCAGACCCAACUUCUUUCAACCCGUCCUAAAAUAAAUUCAUGGGUUUCAAACCCCAUUUAAAAUCAGAUUGGGCCUGCUCUUGGAAUUAAAACAAAUAAGUAGAAUUAGGUCGUGGCCCAAAUUUUGUGCCAAAAUAAGCUACGUAUACAUAGUUGUAUACUAUAACACCCCGUAUUCAAAAAUAGACCGAACUUCAGUUUUUUGGAAAUUGUAGGUGUAAUCUACUAUCACCAUCUUACGGGUAGUCUGAUCUACGGCCCGUAUUGUGGGUCUGUGGUCCACCAUUGUAGCCCUUCCUAAAAGCUCAGCUCAAAAAAUUGAUCUAGUCUCGACCCACGGACAUAUAUACGGUCCGUAAGUCAGACCACGAUCCGUGGAUUAACACCCUAUUCCCCAGCCCCUGACAUGAACCACGAUUGACUAGUACGGUCCGUACAUGAAUUUCAGAACCCUAGCUAUGUAUUUCUUUUUGUUCUUGAAUUACACAUGCUAGGUCAGAUAUUUUAGUUACUUUAGAUAUACUUGCCUCAGUUAUUUAUCCAUUAUUAUCAGAUUAAUUGUUGCAUUCUAUGUUUGCAUAUUCAGUUUGAGCUAUGCACUAUUUAUAGAAACAUAGUCAUAAUAGUGAACCACUAAAUUCAUUGGGAGUAGACUAAUACUGAGUUGGAGUUGGGUUUAGCGUACCCAAAUAGUCCGAGAACUACUAGUCAAAUAGGAGCUAAGUCCCCUCUAUGGACAUCAGUUUAGUGAUCACGCCAACAUGCCUUUAUACCUUUGAAAGAGUAUAUUGGGUCCUCUCGAUGGGAUGCAUACAUCAAACUCCACAUUUAGCUCAUGUGAUUUUAUUAUCGGUUAUUAGUAGUUCUCACAGUUCAGUGAGAUUCCAUUGCAUUGAUCAUUUAUCACUAUAUCUAGUAUACAGUUCCAGCGCGUCAUAAAUUGGUUACUAUAUUCAAUUAUCUCAGCAUUUAGUAUAUCAUUUAAGAUUAUAUCGUUGCUUUAUUUCUUGUUUAGUUAUAUUUUAUUUCAGCUUUACGAUAUCCUACAUGUUGAAUACCUUCCAAGUAAUGAAGCAUACGUGCGCAACAUUUUCUCGUGACAUAAGUUCAAGUUCUAAUCAUCUAGAUCACGCUUAGAUUGAUUCUCGAUCUCCAGUUCAGCAGAAUCAUUG
RNAcentral lists this long non-coding RNA (6552 nucleotides) under Solanum lycopersicum (tomato). Its description in RNAcentral is "long non-coding RNA (SLYC_LNC000790)". The record is from RNAcentral. Lineage: Eukaryota; Viridiplantae; Streptophyta; Magnoliopsida; Solanales; Solanaceae.